Leptidea sinapis is the source of this 2165-nucleotide long non-coding RNA. RefSeq lists it as uncharacterized. Lineage: Eukaryota; Metazoa; Arthropoda; Insecta; Lepidoptera; Pieridae. The transcript is spliced from 4 exons. The record is from RefSeq and is a predicted model, not a curated record.
AGUGCCCAGUGCCUACAGGCCAUGACACUCAACGUAAAAACCACUUCACAGAAACAAGAUAUAAACUCAGCGAUCUUAUGUUCGAUCGCAAAUUCAGUUCAACACUAGUGCGGAGCAGUUAACUUUUGUAUUAAUAAUAUUUACUGGAAAAAUGUUUAUUAAGCUAUUGUUAGUCUCGUGUUUGGCGACCUUGAGUUGGGGUCAACAGUAUGAUGUGUACGGUCAGAGGCGGAACACUGGUGGCUACGGACUAUUGAGACCCGGAAAUACUGGCUAUACUGGUUAUAAUUCGGGCUUCGGGGGAUAUAAUUCAGGAACACCGGGAUACAAUACGGGGUACAACGGGUACAGCACGGGUUCUCCGGGAUACAAUGGUUUUAGUGGAUAUAGCGGGAACAGUUAUAAUGGUUAUUCUGGAUACAAUGGGUAUUCCAGUUUAGGUGGAUAUCCGGGAUAUGGAAAUGGUUACCAAGGACAAGGCUAUGGAGGCAACUACGGAGGGUAUAAUGCGGGUGCUGGCGGAUACAACAAUGGAUACAAUACUGGAUUCGGAGGUUACCGUCCUAACAGACCCGGUUACAAUAAUAUUGGAUACCAAGACUACAACCGCCCAGGAUAUAGCCAGGGCAACCAAUAUUCGGGAUAUAAGCCGAGUUACAGUGGGAACUACUUUAGUGGUUACGGCGACGGUUACGAUAACGUAAGGCUUUCAAGGAAAGUCGAAGAGAAGAAAGACAAUUAAAUUUUAAGCGACGAAAGCAUGUCAUCUAUAUGCUUACAGCAAGUUUUAAUAUAGACUAAAAAAUCUCACAUCUUUAAGUACAGAACCAGCCGGAAACAGCAUUUAGAAGAGUGACAAGUGAAAUAGUCAUAAUAUAAAUUAUACAAUACUAGCUUACCCGACAGACGCUGUUCUGUACAUAACAAAUAAAAUAAUGUUUUUUUUAUGAAUUUGUCUGCUGUCGUAAUGAAAUUGUUUCACAGAAGAACUGUCAAACCGUGCGUCAAUAAAUUCUCUCAUAGAAAUUAUGUAUGGACACAUCAAAGGAAAAACAAAUUUGUUGUUAAUUCCGAGCAAUUUCCUAUUUAUUCACCUUUUGAACCUUCUCUGGACUUUCACAAAUAAUUCAAGACCAAAAUUUGCCAAAUCGGUCCAGCCGUUCUCGAGUUUUAGCGAGACUAACGAACAGCAAUUCAUUUUUAUACAUAUAGAUUUUUAAUAUUAUAUUUCUGAACUCUUUUGUUGGAACUUGGCACUUUUUAGCGUGUCCUUCAAUGUCACAAAUGAUAAAAGUAUCUAUUUAUAAACGUAUUCAUAGGCUUACAAUAACGAGCCCACGUAUCGUCAUGUCACAGUCUUUAAAGAAAAAUAACUUAUACAAAAAGUGAAACUUUUUUUUCACAUUAUAGACAUUUAACUAAAAAUUUUUGGAAUAAUAUUCCAUUAACGGUAUAAAAAUCGCUUUAUCAAUCUUAAUUUUAUACUUGGCAAUCUGGAAUGAUAAUAGGAAAUAAUAAAAACAAACAAAACAGGGUGGAGCACUGGCACAAAUGAGAGAGAGUCUAUACACUACACGGUCAGCUGCUGCGAACUUUAGGCGCCGCCCGACCGUCACGCGACAUGCAACACACAGACGAAAAAGUUUGAGACCAUGUAAUAAAAGUUUCACUUUAAAAACUGACCUAAACGACAGUGUUUUAAUUAUUUUUGUUUGAAUAAUUUUGGCUGCUCUUGCUAUGGUGUUAUGUCGAAAUACUUAUUUUAGGAUUACGAUAGCCCUGGUACCUAAUUUCAAAUGGUGCGUUGGCUUUCAAUGUGUUUGCCGCAACAAGCCCCGCUAUACACUACAGUUUCAUCAUUCAUGGGUCGAUUUAUGUGCGGCGCUACUCCAUUCGACUUUUUGGGAUUGGAGCGGUCGUAAAUACCCAGUUUUAGUCACUCAAUGAUAUACGAUAACAAUAAAACUAUACUUACUUAGUAUGUACUUAAGGUUGUCGAGUAUAUUAACUGAAAAAAUAUUCAAAUUGUUUAAAAUAUUACAGUUGACACGCUUUUAUGUAAUUACUUAAUAUUUACCUAGAGUAAUGUAAUGUACUGUGUAGGCAAUUUAAAGUAAUUGUCAAUUUUUGUGUACAUAAUAUGUUAAGUAAAUUAUUUUAUUGAA